AGUGCUGUGGCUUUAGCUGGUGAAAGUGCCUGCCUAGUUAACAAGAGAUUCUGGGUUCAAAUCCCAGCUGUGCCU
RNAcentral lists this transfer RNA (75 nucleotides) under Pleuronectes platessa (European plaice). RNAcentral's name for it is "tRNA-Thr". The record is from RNAcentral. Lineage: Eukaryota; Metazoa; Chordata; Actinopteri; Pleuronectiformes; Pleuronectidae.